UACAGAGGGUGCAAGCGUUGUUCGGAAUUACUGGGCGUAAAGGGCGCGUAGGCGGCCACCGCAAGUCGAUUGUGAAAUCUCCGGGCUUAACCCGGAAAGGUCAACCGAUACUGCGGGGCUAGAGUGCAGAAGGGGCAACUGGAAUUCUCGGUGUAGCGGUGAAAUGCGUAGAUAUCGAGAGGAACACCUGCGGCGAAGGCGGGUUGCUGGGCUGACACUGACGCUGAGGCGCGAAAGCUAGGGGAGCGAACGGG
RNAcentral lists this ribosomal RNA (254 nucleotides) under uncultured bacterium. RNAcentral describes it as "partial 16S ribosomal RNA". It matches the Rfam family "Bacterial small subunit ribosomal RNA", at positions 524 to 776 of the family's 1533-position model. The record is from RNAcentral.